RNAcentral lists this unclassified non-coding RNA (345 nucleotides) under soil metagenome. Its description in RNAcentral is "partial contains 5.8S ribosomal RNA, internal transcribed spacer 2, and large subunit ribosomal RNA". The stretch from base 1 to 120 matches the Rfam family "5.8S ribosomal RNA", at positions 35 to 154 of the family's 154-position model. The record is from RNAcentral.
GAUGAAGAACGUAGCGAAAUGCGAUACGUAAUGUGAAUUGCAGAAUUCAGUGAAUCAUCGAGUCUUUGAACGCACAUUGCGCCCCCUGGUAUUCCGGAGGGCAUGCCUGUCCGAGCGUCAUUGCUGCCCUCAAGCACGGCUUGUGUGUUGGGCCCCGCCCCCCGAUCCCGGGGGGCGGGCCCGAAAGGCAGCGGCGGCACCGCGUCCGGUCCUCGAGCGUAUGGGGCUUUGUCACCCGCUCUGUAGGCCCGGCCGGCGCUUGCCGAUCAACCAAACUUUUUUCCAGGUUGACCUCGGAUCAGGUAGGGAUACCCGCUGAACUUAAGCAUAUCAAUAAGCGGAGGA